This 87-nucleotide transfer RNA is filed under the name Acidobacteriota bacterium. RNAcentral describes it as "Acidobacteria bacterium tRNA-Leu". It matches the Rfam family "tRNA". Rfam says of the family: Transfer RNA (tRNA) molecules are approximately 80 nucleotides in length. The record is from RNAcentral. Lineage: Bacteria; Pseudomonadati; Acidobacteriota. RNAcentral also lists the same sequence under 2 other names.
GCCGGGAUGGCGGAACUGGCAGACGCAGCGGACUCAAAAUCCGCCGGCCUUCGGGCCAUGGGGGUUCAAGUCCCUUUCCCGGCACCA